Molecule: ribosomal RNA, 496 nt
Filed under: uncultured bacterium
Lineage: Bacteria
Description: partial 16S ribosomal RNA
Rfam family: Bacterial small subunit ribosomal RNA
Source: RNAcentral
GAUGAACGCUGGCGGCGUGCCUAAUACAUGCAAGUCGAGCGAACAGACGAGGAGCUUGCUCCUCUGACGUUAGCGGCGGACGGGUGAGUAACACGUGGAUAACCUACCUAUAAGACUGGGAUAACUUCGGGAAACCGGAGCUAAUACCGGAUAAUAUAUUGAACCGCAUGGUUCAAUAGUGAAAGACGGUUUUGCUGUCACUUAUAGAUGGAUCCGCGCCGCAUUAGCUAGUUGGUAAGGUAACGGCUUACCAAGGCGACGAUGCGUAGCCGACCUGAGAGGGUGAUCGGCCACACUGGAACUGAGACACGGUCCAGACUCCUACGGGAGGCAGCAGUAGGGAAUCUUCCGCAAGGGGCGAAAGCCUGACGGAGCAACGCCGCGUGAGUGAUGAAGGUCUUCGGAUCGUAAAACUCUGUUAUUAGGGAAGAACAAAUGUGUAAGUAACUAUGCACGUCUGGACGGUACCUAAGCAGAAAGCCACGGCUAACUACGU